This 253-nucleotide ribosomal RNA is filed under the name uncultured bacterium. RNAcentral describes it as "partial 16S ribosomal RNA". It matches the Rfam family "Bacterial small subunit ribosomal RNA", at positions 524 to 776 of the family's 1533-position model. The record is from RNAcentral.
UACAGAGGUGGCAAGCGUUGUUCGGAAUUACUGGGCGUAAAGGGCGCGUAGGCGGCCAUCUAAGUCAGACGUGAAAUCCCCCGGCUUAACCUGGGAACUGCGUCUGAUACUGGAAGGCUCGAGUUUGGGAGAGGGAUGUGGAAUUCCAGGUGUAGCGGUGAAAUGCGUAGAUAUCGGGAGGAAUACCGGUGGCGAAGGCGGCAUCCUGGACCGGCAUUGACGCUGAGGAGCGAAAGCCAGGGGAGCAAACGGG